GUUUGUGAAAUGUCGUCCAUGUCUCAUGUACUUGAAACAAGGUUGAAAAGGUCAUUUUAUACGAAAAUGUCAUUUGUUGUUGUUUUCUCUUUUGUGGCCAAGGAUGAAUUGCAAUAUAUAAGAAAGUUUUAGAGUUUAGAGAUUAAAGUGUUGACAUGAGAAGUUUUGGGGUUAACUUAAUAUAUCGGAAUUAGUUACGUGGU
This 203-nucleotide long non-coding RNA is filed under the name Ananas comosus (pineapple). Its description in RNAcentral is "long non-coding RNA (ACOM_LNC030517)". Lineage: Eukaryota; Viridiplantae; Streptophyta; Magnoliopsida; Poales; Bromeliaceae. The record is from RNAcentral.